This 492-nucleotide ribosomal RNA is filed under the name uncultured bacterium. RNAcentral's name for it is "partial 16S ribosomal RNA". It matches the Rfam family "Bacterial small subunit ribosomal RNA", at positions 28 to 507 of the family's 1533-position model. The record is from RNAcentral.
GGUGAACGCUGGCGGUAGGCCUAACACAUGCAAGUCGAACGGCAGCACAGUAAGAGCUUGCUCUUACGGGUGGCGAGUGGCGGGCGGGUGAGGAAUACAUCGGAAUCUACUUUUUCGUGGGGGAUAACGUAGGGAAACUUACGCUAAUACCGCAUACGACCUACGGGUGAAAGCAGGGGAUCUUCGGACCUUGCGCGAUUGAAUGGGCCGAUGUCGGAUUAGCUAGUUGGCGGGGUAAAGGCCCACCAAGGCGACGAUCCGUAGCUGGUCUGAGAGGAUGAUCAGCCACACUGGAACUGGGACACGGUCCAGACUCCUACGGGAGGCAGCAGUGGGGAAUAUUGGGCAAUGGGCGCAAGCCUGAUCCAGCCAUACCGCGUGGGUGAAGAAGGCCUUCGGGUUGUAAAGCCCUUUUGUUGGGAAAGAAAAGCAGCAGGUUAAUACCCCGCUGUUCUGACGGUACCCAAAGAAUAAGCACCGGCUAACUUCGUG